This 575-nucleotide ribosomal RNA is filed under the name fungal endophyte. RNAcentral's name for it is "eukaryotic LSU rRNA". The stretch from base 191 to 344 matches the Rfam family "5.8S ribosomal RNA". Lineage: Eukaryota; Fungi. The record is from RNAcentral.
CGGAGGGAUCAUUAAAGAGUUCUAUAACUCCCAAACCCAUGUGAACAUACCUAACGUUGCCUCGGCAGGUCGCACCUACCUUGUAGCACCCUACCCUGUAGGGCCUACCCGGGAGGUGCGGGUAAGCCUGCCGGCGGCCCACCAAACUCUGUUUGAUAUUGAAUUCUGAACCUAUAACUAAAUAAGUUAAAACUUUCAACAACGGAUCUCUUGGUUCUGGCAUCGAUGAAGAACGCAGCGAAAUGCGAUAAGUAAUGUGAAUUGCAGAAUUCAGUGAAUCAUCGAAUCUUUGAACGCAUAUUGCGCCCAUUAGUAUUCUAGUGGGCAGGACCGUUCGAGCGUCAUUUCAACCCUUAAGCCUUCGUUGCUUAGUGUUGGGAGCCUACGGCAACGUAGCUCCUCAAAGUUAGUGGCGGAGUUGGUUCACACUCUAGACGUAGUAAUUUUUUAUCUCGCCUAUUAGUUGGACUAAUCCCCUGCCGUAAAACCCCCAAUUUAUCAAGGUUGACCUCGAAUCGGUUCAGACAAACUCGCUAAAUUGAAGCAUCUUAGUCAGCGAAGGAAAAGAAACCAAC